GACGAACGCUGGCGGCGUGCUUAACACAUGCAAGUCGAACGAAGAGCGAUGGAAGCUUGCUUCUAUCAAUCUUAGUGGCGAACGGGUGAGUAACGCGUAAUCAACCUGCCCUUCAGAGGGGGACAACAGUUGGAAACGACUGCUAAUACCGCAUACGAUCUAAUCUCGGCAUCGAGGAUAGAUGAAAGGUGGCCUCUACAUGUAAGCUAUCACUGAAGGAGGGGAUUGCGUCUGAUUAGCUAGUUGGAGGGGUAACGGCCCACCAAGGCGAUGAUCAGUAGCCGGUCUGAGAGGAUGAACGGCCACAUUGGGACUGAGACACGGCCCAGACUCCUACGGGAGGCAGCAGUGGGGAAUCUUCCGCAAUGGACGAAAGUCUGACGGAGCGACGCCGCGUGAGCGAUGACGGCCUUCGGGUUGUAAAGCUCUGUUAAUCGGGACGAAAGGCCUUCUUGCGAAUAGUGAGAAGGAUUGACGGUACCGGAAUAGAAAGCCACGGCUAACUACGUG
This 510-nucleotide ribosomal RNA is filed under the name uncultured bacterium. RNAcentral describes it as "partial 16S ribosomal RNA". It matches the Rfam family "Bacterial small subunit ribosomal RNA", at positions 28 to 507 of the family's 1533-position model. The record is from RNAcentral.